Molecule: ribosomal RNA, 285 nt
Filed under: uncultured rumen protozoa
Lineage: Eukaryota
Description: partial 18S ribosomal RNA
Rfam family: Eukaryotic small subunit ribosomal RNA
Source: RNAcentral
GGUGGUGCAUGGCCGUUCUUAGUUGGUGGAGUGAUUUGUCUGGUUAAUUCCGAUAACGAACGAGACCUUAACCUGCUAACUAGUUCUCAAUACUCUGUAUUCUGCAACUUCUUAGAGGGACUAUGUAAAUCAAUUACAUGGAAGUUUGAGGCAAUAACAGGUCAGUGAUGCCCUUAUAUGUCSUGGGCUGCACGCGUGCUACACUGAUGCAUACAACAAGUGCCUAGCCAGACAUGGUAUGGCAAUCUCGAAUAUGCAUCGUGAUGGGGAUAGAUCUUUGCAAUU